RNAcentral lists this ribosomal RNA (472 nucleotides) under uncultured bacterium. RNAcentral's name for it is "bacterial SSU rRNA". It matches the Rfam family "Bacterial small subunit ribosomal RNA", at positions 355 to 825 of the family's 1533-position model. The record is from RNAcentral.
UGGGGAAUAUUGGACAAUGGGGGGAACCCUGAUCCAGCAAUGCCGCGUGUGUGAAGAAGGCCUGAGGGUUGUAAAGCACUUUCAGAGGGGAGGAGGACUAUUAGGUUAAGAGCUAGAUAGUUGGACGUUACCCUCAGAAGCAGCACCGGCUAACUCCGUGCCAGCAGCCGCGGUAAUACGAAGGGUCCUAGCGUUGUUCGGAAUCAUUGGGCGUAAAGAGCACGUAGGUGGCCUUGUAAGUCAGAUGUGAAAGCCCAGGGCUCAACCCUGGAAGUGCAUCUGAAACUGCUUGGCUUGAGUACAGAAGAGGUAAGUGGAAUUCCUGGUGUAGUGGUGAAAUACGUAGAUAUCAGGAAGAACACCAGUGGCGAAGGCGGCUUACUGGUCCGACACUGACGCUGAGGCGCGAAAGCGUGGGGAUCAAACAGGAUUAGAUACCCAGGUAGUCCCUGAGCGGGCUGGCAAGGCGCAU